Non-coding RNA from Schistosoma margrebowiei, 45 nucleotides. The record is from Rfam. NCBI's taxonomy places the organism in Eukaryota, Metazoa, Platyhelminthes, Trematoda, Strigeidida, Schistosomatidae.
AUCCAGAUAACGAGUCUCAAAUGGGACGAAACGCGCAUCCUGGAU